Molecule: ribosomal RNA, 448 nt
Filed under: uncultured bacterium
Lineage: Bacteria
Description: bacterial SSU rRNA
Rfam family: Bacterial small subunit ribosomal RNA
Source: RNAcentral
UAGUCCACGCCGUAAACGAUGAUUACUGGUUGUACGCAAUACACCGUGUGCGACUGAGGGAAACCAUUAAGUAAUCCACCUGGGGAGUACGUUGGCAACAAUGAAACUCAAAGGAAUUGACGGGGGCCCGCACAAGCGGAGGAACAUGUGGUUUAAUUCGAUGAUACGCGAGGAACCUUACCUGGGCUUAAAUGUAGAGUGCAUUAUUUGGAAACAGAUAUUUCCUUCGGGACUCUUUACAAGGUGCUGCAUGGUUGUCGUCAGCUCGUGCCGUGAGGUGUCGGGUUAAGUCCCAUAACGAGCGCAACCCCUAUCAUUAGUUGCUAACAGGUUAAGCUGAGGACUCUAAUGAGACUGCCGGUGUAAACCGCGAGGAAGGUGGGGAUGGACGUCAAAUCAGCACGGCCCUUAUGUCCAGGGGCUACACACGUGUUACAAUGGUCGGUAC